AGAGCGAACGCUGGCGGCAGGCUUAACACAUGCAAGUCGAGCGGGCGUAGCAAUACGUCAGCGGCAGACGGGUGAGUAACGCGUGGGAACAUACCUUUUGGUUCGGAACAACACAGGGAAACUUGUGCUAAUACCGGAUAAGCCCUUACGGGGAAAGAUUUAUCGCCGAAAGAUUGGCCCGCGUCUGAUUAGCUAGUUGGUGAGGUAACGGCUCACCAAGGCGACGAUCAGUAGCUGGUCUGAGAGGAUGAUCAGCCACAUUGGGACUGAGACACGGCCCAAACUCCUACGGGAGGCAGCAGUGGGGAAUAUUGGACAAUGGGGCGCAAGCCUGAUCCAGCCAUGCCGCGUGAGUGAUGAAGGCCCUAGGGUUGUAAAGCUCUUUUGUGCGGGAAGAUAAUGACGGUACCGCAAGAAUAAGCCCGGCUAACUUCGCGCCAGCAGCCGC
RNAcentral lists this ribosomal RNA (448 nucleotides) under uncultured bacterium. RNAcentral's name for it is "SSU rRNA". It matches the Rfam family "Bacterial small subunit ribosomal RNA", at positions 26 to 518 of the family's 1533-position model. The record is from RNAcentral.